RNAcentral lists this ribosomal RNA (445 nucleotides) under uncultured bacterium. Its description in RNAcentral is "partial 16S ribosomal RNA". It matches the Rfam family "Bacterial small subunit ribosomal RNA", at positions 338 to 795 of the family's 1533-position model. The record is from RNAcentral.
CCUACGGGUGGCUGCAGUCGAGAAUCUUUCACAAUGGGGGAAACCCUGAUGGUGCGACGCCGCGUGGGGGAAUGAAGGUCUUCGGAUUGUAAACCCCUGUCAUGUGGGAGCAAAUUAAAAAGAUAGUACCACAAGAGGAAGAGACGGCUAACUCUGGGCCAGCAGACACGGUAAGACGGAGGAUGCGAGCGUUAUCGGGAUUUAUUGGGUUAAAACGGUGCGCAGGCGGUAUGUAAAGUCAGCGGUCAAAGCCUGGGUCUAAAACGUGGACCGCCGUUGAAACUGGCAGUCUUGAGUUGGGGAGAGGUAUGCGGAAUGCGCGGUGUAGCGGUGAAAUGCAUAGAUAUCGCGCAGAACUCCGAUUGCGAAGGCAGCAUGCCGGCUCCACACUGACGCUGAGGCACGAAAGCGUGGGUAUCGAACAGGAUUAGAUACCCUUGUAGUC